Paramuricea clavata is the source of this 334-nucleotide non-coding RNA. Lineage: Eukaryota; Metazoa; Cnidaria; Anthozoa; Malacalcyonacea; Plexauridae. The record is from the annotation of a GenBank genome assembly.
GUUGGAAUCAUCGGGACUCCAUCCAGCCAUAAUUUCUUCAUCAUAAAUAUAUCUUUCACAUUGCUUACAUUGAUUACAGCUACAGAUCAACGCUUCGAAUGACACGUCACGAGGGACCAUACCACAAUGGCUUCGCCAGUCAACAUAGUCGAUACCCGAAGUUGUAUUCUAGGAAACAAAAUCACUAAAAUUCUAAAACUUGACCCACCCAGCUUCCUCCGCAGGCAACGCCUUUAGAUUGGCGGGCAGAAUUUGAUUGCGGGCAAAAAAGAGCUUUGAUUUCUCAGCGAGAUUUUACUCCACGCCCAACAAAAAAGUAAGGCAAAUAGCUAAG